RNAcentral lists this transfer RNA (94 nucleotides) under Bryobacterales bacterium. Its description in RNAcentral is "tRNA-Sec". It matches the Rfam family "Selenocysteine transfer RNA". The record is from RNAcentral. Lineage: Bacteria; Pseudomonadati; Acidobacteriota; Terriglobia; Bryobacterales.
GGGAGCCAAUUUUGCCCGGUGGCAGGCACGGUCUUCAAAACCGUUGAACGGUCUUACGGUCGUUGGUCGGUUCGACUCCGACUGGUUCCCGCCA